This 1787-nucleotide long non-coding RNA is filed under the name Triticum aestivum (bread wheat). Its description in RNAcentral is "long non-coding RNA (TAES_LNC010877)". The record is from RNAcentral. Lineage: Eukaryota; Viridiplantae; Streptophyta; Magnoliopsida; Poales; Poaceae.
GAAACACACAUGUAUUUUUUUCAAAAAGGAGGCUUGACCCUCGGCAUCUGCACCAUUAGGAUGCACACAACCUAUAAACAUACAUGUGCUACAACAUUGCACAAACAAUCAAGGAAAAUAAAAAUACAGAGAAGCCCAUAGGGGUCCCUGAGCGACAACCAUCUCGCCAUCAGUCUUCACCGUUGCGAGAGAAGAGAAGCAAACCAUGAACUAGAAAGCACCUUCACAGACUCCUUUCAUGGACCACGAGAGUGCACAGCUACAGGCGUGCCAAUGACGUUGUGGAACAUCGGCAGGAAAAGACCCCCAUACUUCUCGAGCGCAAGAUCAACCUCCACUGGAAAUUGUAACUUGUAUUUUCGAGCAUGAACACACUCAAUCAACAUGGCAUGUUUAGAAAGAAGCAGACAAUCACAUGUUGCAUAUUACUUAGCACAAUCUAGAAACGACACUAGACAGGUGCCUAAAACAUCUUACCACACAUGCCUGACACUAAGUUCAUGAGAUGAGCAAAAGUGCACUAGGACUACCGCGACACUUCAAACCUCAACAUGAUAUGAUUUAUGACAGCAUCCAAGCAACAAGCUACACAACAAUACAUAAGAGUUCAUUUGAAUAGGACACUAGUAGACGAAACACAACAAAUCACAUCAGAGUUCAUAACUUCAUGUGAAUAGUACACUAGUAGACUAAACACAACAACUUCAUGGCACUAGAUCCGAGGGCCUCAAGUUUGAAUAACGAGGAUGAUCUGAUCAUAUAUAGAUCGAAAUCGAACCCUGCAUAAGCAACAAAGGAUACAUUGACCAGCACAUGAAAGUCUCAUACUAGAAGGAAUGCAGGGAAUGUUGUGAGAAAUUCUGUUGGUUGAUGUGGCUAUCAAAAUGCUUGAAUUCAAACGAACUCUUCGGUUUUAGUCUAACUAGCUAUCAGGGCAUAAUCUGAGAAAUUCUUGUAAUGGGACAAUAAUGGAACAUGAAACUGAGCAGAUGUUUUAACUUAAAUUUGGUAGGAAGCAUUUUGGGUAGCGCUUACAGAAACAACCAUAAAGGAGGGUGUCAAACUGUCCUAGUCCAGUAAAAAAUGCACACUUCAGAUUUGUGCCUUCGGUACUACCUAAAUUAGUCAAAACCACCUUACAUUACCUAAUCAAGCAUUCUGUUGAGGAAAUUAAUAGUUUCUGUUGCUGCGCUAAGCUCCCUACUCUUGUGCGAAGGUGAAGAAACUCGUUCACAAAUCUGCUGGACCCACUAAUGGCGGCAUAGUUGUUGGGGUCAUCGAUGUGCAGGGCGGGCACAUACUUCCAAAGUGUGCUCCAGCGCUUAGCAAGAACACACGUCCGUACAGAGUCACGAGAAGGCAGGAACAACAAAAGAUAGCAAAAGAUCAUUUGGGAGGGCCCUGCCCCCUAGCUAGAGUCGUUUCCAUCGUUUCCUCGCUAUUAAGCCUCUCCGACAUUAUGUCAAAAAGGUUGCCUACGCCGAAGCUGUAGAGUUGUUGGAUGUGGUGAGUCAGUGAGUGAGACCAGCCAAAUGGAGAAGAUACACAAUAAUCAUGAGCUCACCAGAUUAGCUCACCUACAGCCGCCGCUAGUCAUGCUCCUCCACCUCCUCCUCGACGGUGCUCAGUUCUCCAAGCAACGCGAGAGGGGACACUUCUCUCAUGCCUUCUCACCUUAACUUGGUGGGACAGGAAAACAGAGAAUGCCGAAGGAAGGGAUAAAGAGAAAGUGAUGGGUGUUUGAUGGAUGUUGGUUGUUCUUAUAGAAAACAACUUGUAUUUAAUAC